CACUGGGACAAUAGUGAGUGGUGCACACUUCCUUCGCCCGGCCACAGAAGACAAAAAAGAGUUGCUGGUGUAACAAUAGGAAGAAUAUAUUCCACUCCUCUCUUGUACACGCGGCUUAUGAGACGUCUGUGAAGAACAUCUUCUCUCUGAGCAACAGAAGUGGAGCUUCAGGAUGGGCAAGGAGGAGCCACAGCCCUUCCACAUUAAGGAGGAAGAGAAGGCGCCACAUACAUUGCAAAUGCAAAGGGAAGAAAAUAACCCACUGACCCCGCAUUUUAAAGAGGAAGAGGAGGAACACAGCAUCAGUCAAGAAUGGUUGGAGAAGUUCCAUUUGAUUGUGAAGAGUGAAGAUGAUGAGGUGAAAGGUGAAAGUGAGGAGAGGGGAGGGGGGGGAGCCUCCAAGCAGCAGCUCAACACAACACAUGACAACAGAAGCUGAUGGAGACCACUGUGGAGGAUCACAAGCAGACAAGCUCUUAGCUCCACUAUCAGAUAGUGAGGACACAACGUCACACUCUCCUGACACUGAUGAUGAAGACUCUAAAGAUGAUAAGACAUGUCACACUGACAACACUCACUUCGCAUGUUCUCACUGUCACAAAACUUUUAAGUACCAUUGUCAUCUGAAAAGACACAUGAGAACACACACUGGAGAAAAACCUUUUUCAUGUUCAAUCUGUCGUAAAUGUUUUACUUUAAAGCACAAUUUCAAAGUACACAUGAGAAUACAUACUGGAGAACAACCUUUUUCCUGCUCAGUAUGUGGUAAAAGAUUUGUAUUAAAUCAAAGUUUAAAACUACACAUGACAACACACACUGGAGAAAAACCUUUUUCAUGUUCAAUUUGCGGUAAAGAUUUUACUCAAAAGCACAAUUUUAAAGCACACAUGAGAACACACACUGGAGAAAAACCUUUUACAUGUUCAAUCUGCGGUAAAGAUUUUACUCAAAGGUACCAAUUCAAAGCGCACAUGAGAAUACACACGGGAGAGAAACCUUUUUCCUGCUCAGAAUGUGGUAAAAGUUAUGUCAUAAAUCGAAGUUUAAAAGUACACAUGAGAACACACACAGGUGAGAAAGUGUUGAGUUGCAGUGUGUGUGGUGAAAGAUUGUCUUCUAAGUACCAGUGUAAGAAACACAAGUGUGCUGGUGAGAACAGCAGCAGCAAAUGAAACUGCAGGAUUUGAAAUAAACUGUAAAAACUUUAAGUUUAAGUAACAUCAGCACAAGUAACAUGUGUGACAUAAUAAUUUGGAACAACAUAUGCUGCCAUUUAAGCGCCAUCUUUUUCAUGGGCACCCCUGUUUAUUUCAGCAAGACAAUGCCAAGCCACAUUCAACAUAUGUUACAACAGCGUGGCUUCGUAAAACAAAGAGUGCGGGUACUUUCCUGGCCUGCCUGCAGUCCAGACCUGUCUCCCAUGGAAAAUGUGUGGCGCAUUAUGAAGCGUAAAAUACAACAGCGGAGACCCUGGACUGUUGAACGACUCAAACUCUACAUAAAACAAGAAUGGGAAAGAUUUCCACUUUCAAAGCUUCAACAAUUAGUUUCCUCAGUUCCUUAACUUUUAUUGAGUGUUGUUAAAAGAAAAGGUGAUGUAACACAGUGGUGAACAUGCCCUUUCCCAACUACUUUGGCACGUGUUGCAGCCAUGAAAUUUUAAGUUAAUUAUCUUAAAAAAAAUAAUAAAAAUUAUGAGUUUGAACAUCAAAUAUCUUGUCUUUGUAGUGCAUUCAAUUGAAUAUGGGUUGAAAAUGAUUUGCAAAUCAUUGUAUUCUGUUUUUAUUUACCUCUAACACAAUUUCCCAACUCAUAUGGAAACAGGGUUUGUAUGUCCCUGGACCUUUAUGCAAUAAACAAUGUAUGAUUCAAAUACAAUUGGGUACAAUAAAUGUAGUUAAUAUUU
This is a long non-coding RNA of Nerophis ophidion (straightnose pipefish), 1906 nucleotides long. RefSeq lists it as uncharacterized. Lineage: Eukaryota; Metazoa; Chordata; Actinopteri; Syngnathiformes; Syngnathidae. The record is from RefSeq and is a predicted model, not a curated record. The transcript has 2 exons.